RNAcentral lists this ribosomal RNA (263 nucleotides) under uncultured bacterium. Its description in RNAcentral is "partial 16S ribosomal RNA". It matches the Rfam family "Bacterial small subunit ribosomal RNA", at positions 524 to 787 of the family's 1533-position model. The record is from RNAcentral.
UACGUAGGUGGCAAGCGUUAUCCGGAAUUAUUGGGCGUAAAGAGUGAGCAGGCGGCCGUUUAAGUCUGAAGUCAAAUGCAGUGGCUUAACCACUGUCCGCUUUGGAAACUGGAUGGCUAGAGUACGAGAGAAGUAAGCGGAAUUCCAUGUGUAGCGGUGAAAUGCGUAGAUAUAUGGAGGAACACCAGAGGCGAAGGCGGCUUACUAGAUCGAUACUGACGCUCAGUCACGAAAGCGUGGGUAGCAAAUAGGAUUAGAUACCC